Ribosomal RNA from Oncorhynchus kisutch (coho salmon), 119 nucleotides. The record is from Ensembl. Lineage: Eukaryota; Metazoa; Chordata; Actinopteri; Salmoniformes; Salmonidae.
GCUUACGACCACACCGGCAUGAGUACGCCUGAUCUCGUCUGAUCUCGGAAUCUAAGCAGGGUCGGGCCUGGUUAGUACUUGGAUGGGAGACCGCCUGGGAAUACCAGGUGCUGUAAUCU